CGGACUCGGGCACGGAUUAAGGGAGAUGAGCUUUGUCUCCAUCAUAACGGCAAUGUCUGACAGCCUUUCCACCAUGUAUCUUGUGUAUUUCCACAGGGAAAGCACAAGGUGUGUUAAUCCCACUUUCAGGGCCAAAGCACUUUGCCACUGAGAGGUGAAGCAGGAGGUGUGACUGUUCCUACCCAAAGCCAGUCCAACCCUUUCUAAAACCUACAAUCAAGUGGAUUCUGCAAUCUUCCUAGGCAGCCUAUUCCAGCACCCAACUGCCCUUAAAAACCCCAGAGUUUUCCCCAGCAUCUAAACUGUGCUUUGGCUGUGAACUUCCGUUUCUUUGUGCAGUGCCCAGCAGAUACAAAGAAUGAUUAACAAGCAUCAAGUUCCACUAACAUUUUAGAUACUGUGUCAUUUCACAUAAUAUUAUCAUUUUCUCCCUAAAACUUUAUUUUUCUAGACUAAACAAAUUCUCAGAGGCCUCAUGAUCUCAUAGGCCGUAUUUUGUAAACCUUUUGCCAUUGCUGGGCUGCUGUAGACUCCUUUCAACUUUGCAUUCUUGCUCAGGUCUGUGUCCAAUAAUCAGGUUAAUUAGGUAACGGCUCUCAGCGUGGUAUUUGCAGACUCAGCAACAGCAUCACCACGUUAGUUCAGACUCUUCCUGAUCCCCUGUAAUCCCUGGAUCCCUUUCAGUGCUGCUCCCUGAACAGCUGUUCCCCCGUUCUUGACAAAUUCAUGGUGACUUUUUGAUUUGUCACUCCUUACGUCACCCCCCUCUCCAAGGGCCGGGAUGUCAAUACUUUAUUAUCUUCCUGCACUUUGCCAGUUAAGCUCAGCAAUUUUCCGUCCACGGAUCCACCUUUCUCCCCCUUCCUCCAGUCAAUGUUGAUCCAUCAAAUGCCAUGAUUAUUUUGUUAAAACACACCAAUUAUUUAAGGAUGUCCCUGACUGGCCUCCUGCAUCCUGAGGACUGCAUUUUCCAGGCACUGCCGGCCCCAGUGUAACCACAUAACCAAACACAAUCACUCCCUCUUCAAGUUCUCCUGUGGCAAUCAGGAUUUUAAAUAAUCUUUCCAAUAGUCUUCUCCAUCUUCGAGCUAUAAACGGCCUGAAACACAUUUCAAGAGCGCUUGGUCUCCAAGUUCUCCAUCACCAAAAGGUUUGUGCUCCAGUGGCCUCGAGAAGUUUCUCCCCUCUCCCCACAGUUAUUGCUUUAUCCUUUCUAUGUUCUGGGAGAAGUCUUUGUGGAGGAGAAACAGUAAUUUGUUGGAGGGUCUAUCAACACCUUCUCCUGAACAACUUGCACAACCAACAAUUUGGAUCAAAACGUGCAAGUGAAGCACAGAUUGAAAAUUCACAACUAAUUUCUGCGUUAUAUUUGCUCUGCCUUCUCUUUCAUCUUUAUGUUAUCUCAAACACUUUGACUUUUUCUUAAAAUGUCAUCAUUAAACCACAAACUGGCCUAAAUAACCAUUAGUGAGAAGAUUGUUUCCCUCUGAAGAAAUGGGAUAAGCAGCUGUGAGAUGCUGUUGUGCUGCAAGGGAAAAUGGCUGUAACUAUGCAGGAAAUUACAGACCUGGCUGAAGCCAGGAGAAUAAGUUUAUUCUGGAGCAUUGUUUUAUACCAUGUUACUUUUUUGGUGCUUUUGCCACAACUGGCAUUUUUUAUUCAGAACAAAACCUCCUAAAACUGAAUUUAUGAUACUGUCUCACCAGAUUACCUUGGGAAUAGAUCAAAGCAACAAAACAAGAGUUAGUCUUUUGAUUGUGCCACUGUUUCCAUGAGAAAAUUUUGUGCUAAAAUUUAAAUUUCUGCUGAUGUCCAAGGCAGGGAUGUCCUGCAGGGGAGGAGAGCCUGUUCCUGAUGUCAGAGAUCUGUAGUUCUUGAGGAAUGUGUUCCUGGACCACAUUUUUGAACUGAAGCAGAUCAAGACCUUCCUGAAUAAAGGAGCAGGAGGCCUGAGAGAUGAUCUCUAGAACCAGUCUGCUAUGGAGGGGUAAGGGACAUGCAGAAAAGACAAAAUCAGGGCAGAAAACCCAAGUGAGUUUAAGUGAGGAGGCUGGGAAGUUCCCAGACAGGAACUCAGGAGCUCACCUGAGGAUCUGUCCCAUUGCAAAGCACUGGGCUGGGUUAGAAGGGAUGGACACAGCAAACUGUAACAACCUGACCACUGCCAGAGGGUCCUCUCUGCACCCCCAGGGGGGGCAGAACUGCUUCCACACACAGCCUCAGGAGAUGGCUGGUGCUCCCAGCUUUUCAAAUCCAUUCCCAAGGAGACUUGGCAACUGGGACGAUUGUGACUAAGAAAGCACAGGAAAGUUUUACAAAUCA
This is a long non-coding RNA of Pseudopipra pipra, 2322 nucleotides long. RefSeq lists it as uncharacterized. Lineage: Eukaryota; Metazoa; Chordata; Aves; Passeriformes; Pipridae. The record is from RefSeq and is a predicted model, not a curated record. The transcript is spliced from 2 exons.